This 86-nucleotide transfer RNA is filed under the name Paraburkholderia sediminicola. RNAcentral describes it as "tRNA-Val". The record is from RNAcentral. Lineage: Bacteria; Pseudomonadati; Pseudomonadota; Betaproteobacteria; Burkholderiales; Burkholderiaceae.
UUGCAGCAGUUGGGAAAAGCGGGCUCACGGUCCGCGCGUUGACUGCCUGGGCGGCGAGGCUGCAGUUACAAGCUGCAGCUACAAGC